Long non-coding RNA from Cryptotermes secundus, 425 nucleotides. RefSeq lists it as uncharacterized. The record is from RefSeq and is a predicted model, not a curated record. NCBI's taxonomy places the organism in Eukaryota, Metazoa, Arthropoda, Insecta, Blattodea, Kalotermitidae. The transcript has 4 exons.
UCGUAGUGGAUUAUAUGCAAAUUGUUAAGUAUGAAUUUUGAUUUGAUGUGGUUGCGAAACUAAAGUAGACAUUUGCAAACGAAAUUACAGCUCCAUGUUAAACAUAUUAUUUGUUAUAGACAUGAAAACGAAAACGUGCUGCUGCCGGGUGCUUGUCAUCCAGCAAGCAAGGCAUCAAAUUCUUCAGCUUUCCAAGGGAUCCAGCACAGGCUGCGGUAUGGGCAGGAAAGGUUGGAAUAACCUUCACUGUUGAUUCUGCUAGAAGGCUGUACAAUAAAUAUUUGUGCAGCAAACAUUUCCUGGAAAGUGAUUUCACUACACAUUGCAGCAAGCCACAACACUGUAUUGGCUACAGUGGGGUGCUGUGGUGAAUACCUGGCAACAGCUGUUUGGUGAUUACCUUGUGAACACAUUUGAAGCUAUUC